GAAUUGCGAUAAGUAAUGUGAAUUGCAGAAUUCAGUGAAUCAUCGAAUCUUUGAACGCACCUUGCGCCCCUUGGAUAUUCCGAAGGGCAUGCCUGUUUGAGUAUCAUGAACACCUCAACUCUCAUGGUUUGCCAUGAUGAGCUUGGACUUUGGGGGUUCUGCUGGCCCAUGGUCGGCUCCCCUUAAAUGGAUCAGCUUGCCAGUGUUUUGGUGGGAUCCCAGGUGUGAUAACUAUCUACGCUUGUGGCUUUCCGUCAAGCAACCUUCAGCAAUGAGGGUUCGCUGGGGCUCAUAAACGUCUCUCUUGUGGAGACAGGUUUUUGAAGUUUGAUCUCAAAUCAGGUAGGACUACCCGCUGAACUUAAGCAUAUCAAUAAGCGGAGG
Molecule: ribosomal RNA, 384 nt
Filed under: uncultured Thelephoraceae
Lineage: Eukaryota; Fungi; Basidiomycota; Agaricomycetes; Thelephorales; Thelephoraceae
Description: eukaryotic LSU rRNA
Rfam family: 5.8S ribosomal RNA (bases 1-106)
Source: RNAcentral